Thrips palmi is the source of this 762-nucleotide long non-coding RNA. RefSeq lists it as uncharacterized. The record is from RefSeq and is a predicted model, not a curated record. The transcript has 3 exons. NCBI's taxonomy places the organism in Eukaryota, Metazoa, Arthropoda, Insecta, Thysanoptera, Thripidae.
CGGCCUUGGCGGCGCCAGUGCGGGGGCGGCGGGCGGCAGUGACUCCGGCUCCAUCCUGGGACUCAUCACGCCACUCCUCGGCAGCAGCAGUCAGGGCUCCGCUGGGGACGGCACGGCGUCCGCAGGAGGCAGUCCGGGUGGAUCGAUCAAGUCCUUCAUCUUCAGGAAGAUUGUUCAGCUGCUUGGUUCGUCGUCCGGGAGCCCCCAGGCUGGAUAAGAGCUUUCCGUCGGUAGAAAUACAAAGGGGAUAAUUUCAAAUUGACUUGGUUCUUUGUCCGGGAAUCAAAUGUGAUAUGAUAUCAAUAUACAAAUAUCUAAUAGAUUGAUAUGGUUUAGAUUGUUAUCUUAAUGCGGAAUAUUAAGGUUUGACCUGUGUUCAUGCACACUCUAAGAGAUUCAGACUAGAAUACAGCCAUGACCUAUGCAUUUGUCAAUUAGGUGUGCACUUCAAUGAAAGAGGAUCAUGUCUGUAAGAGUCUUAUUAAUUAUGAACAACUGUGAUACUGUAUGCAAAAUGUAUACCAAUGAAAAUAAUGAUGCACCUUCACAUUAACUUACAUUUGAGUUGAAGUUAAGUUAGACUGAAUAACUCCUGGCUCACUCCAAAAACAUGAAUUGCCAGAAAAUGUUGUUGGCAAUAUAAAUUAAAGGAGAGCAUUCUUUAUACUGCAUAGUACAUAGUUCAUACAGUUAUUUUUUUUCCUGCAUAUUUAUGUCACCAUCAUAGAAUUCAUCCUUACAUUUACCUGUCGUCACCAUCUU